UGGCUUAGAAGCAGCCAUCAUUUAAAGAGUGCGUAAUAGCUCACUAGUCGAGUGACACUGCGCCGAAAAUGUACCGGGGCUAAACAUAUUACCGAAGCUGUGGAUUGUCCUUUGGACAAUGGUAGGAGAGCGUUCUAAGGGCGUUGAAGCAUGAUCGUAAGGACAUGUGGAGCGCUUAGAAGUGAGAAUGCCGGUGUGAGUAGCGAAAGACGGGUGAGAAUCCCGUCCACCGAUUGACUAAGGUUUCCAGAGGAAGGCUCGUCCGCUCUGGGUUAGUCGGGUCCUAAGCUGAGGCCGACAGGCGUAGGCGAUGGAUAACAGGUUGAUAUUCCUGUACCACCUAUAAUCGUUUUAAUCGAUGGGGGGACGCAGUAGGAUAGGCGAAGCGUGCGAUUGGAUUGCACGUCUAAGCAGUAAGGCUGAGUAUUAGGCAAAUCCGGUACUCGUUAAGGCUGAGC
This 458-nucleotide ribosomal RNA is filed under the name Staphylococcus aureus. RNAcentral describes it as "partial 23S ribosomal RNA". It matches the Rfam family "Bacterial large subunit ribosomal RNA", at positions 1102 to 1561 of the family's 2925-position model. The record is from RNAcentral. Lineage: Bacteria; Bacillati; Bacillota; Bacilli; Caryophanales; Staphylococcaceae.